GUCAGGAUAUUCUUCAGCAUUUGUGAAAUUAUUGUGGUUGGGGAGGAUGACAGAAGCUGUAAAGCUUGUUAAGAUGACGGAAAAGCGAUUUUGUUAGUGGAUUUCCUACCCUCUGGCUGGGAAAACGUGAGUCUUGGAUUGCUGGACAUUCCAAUUGAGUUGAUAACCAAUGACAAAGACUUUCAGUUUGAGGAAUUCCCACUCUCCAAUUACUGUACACUCAGAAAAAAAGAUGCUAACUAGAACCUAAAAGGGUUCUUUUGGCUGUCCUCGUAGAACCCAUUGAAGAAUCCUUUUUGGUUCCAGGUAGAAACUUUUUAAUAGAACCCCUUUGGGUUCAAAGUAGAACCCUUUCCAGAGGGCUCUACAUGGAACCCAAAAAGGGCUCUCCUAUGGGGACAGCCGAAGAACCCUUUUGGAACCCUUUUUUCUAAGAGUGUCGUUAUCCGUAUAGGAUCUCCAUUAUGUUUAUUUCUGUAUGUAACUACAGAACAAAAUGUGAUGUACCCUCUCACCGGGUAGCUUCCCUGUCCUUGAAUGGGUUUUGUGUAUAUUAGAAUUGUAUGAUGCUUCUGGAGAGUCCUCUUUUCCCCCCGAGUGUAGGGUUUAGAAUGCAGUAUGGGGCCAUGAUGAAGGGUUUUGACCAAGUAUUAGUCUGUGAGGAAGGUUGGGGUCAGGAACUAAGCACAAUGUGUGAGUAGCCUACGCGCAACAUGUAGUCUAUGAGAUCUGUUUCCAGGAAUUGUCUAUUUCCCAGCAUUAAGGGCCCAGCGCCUCAACCUCUCUCUCUCCCCCUCUUGAAAAUGACGGUCCCCACUGUCGCCCAUGAUGAGCCAGUCAACGCUUGCCUGAGAGAUGAAUCAAGCACUAGAUCAAAAGACUACAAAUGUUUGGUCUUCCCCCCCGGCUCAGUGUAGCAAUGAGGACUGACUGAAGACAGAAGGAAAAACUAAUGUCUAUCUUUCCCCUUUUAUUAUGCUGUCGUGAAUGACACUGAAAGCACUGAAUUGCAUUCAGUUUCAGAAACAAAGAAAUUUGUUGGCUUAUGUAUUGUAUUUCUGCUCUUACUCUGGUCAUAAGACGUACUGGACUUUGUACUGUCUGUGAGAGGGGUGUGGGUCUUAGUCAAAGCAUAGCCUCUUCCCUCACACAAUGUACUGUAUAUAAUUAUAUUUUGCAAUUAAAUAUGUUAAAGCCAAA
Molecule: long non-coding RNA, 1200 nt
Organism: Oncorhynchus tshawytscha (Chinook salmon)
Lineage: Eukaryota; Metazoa; Chordata; Actinopteri; Salmoniformes; Salmonidae
Source: Ensembl